This is a long non-coding RNA of Uranotaenia lowii, 297 nucleotides long. RefSeq lists it as uncharacterized. The record is from RefSeq and is a predicted model, not a curated record. Lineage: Eukaryota; Metazoa; Arthropoda; Insecta; Diptera; Culicidae. The transcript is spliced from 3 exons.
CCUGUCAUCUGGCAUCAGUAAAACAACUGGCAGCAAACGAAUUGUGUUAUUUUACUACCAUGAAGCUUAAAUUGUCUCUGUUUUUGGCUGUGGCCGUUCUGGUUGCUUCUGCCUUUGCUGGUGGUGCCAAACUCAAAUCUAUGAUAAAAUAAAAUCUAUCUAUGGGCUGGACAACGAAUGCUGUUAUGGGAUCGAGACCAAAACCUGUACAUCGUUUAAAAAUAAAUUGGCAAAAUAAAACUUUAAAUAAAAAUAAGCAUGAAAUAUGAAAGUCUCAAAAAUCGAUUAAGAUUUAAC